AACGGGGCUAAGCUAAAUACCGAAUUUUUGAUUCCCCUCGCAAGAGGCGGAAGGUAGGCGAGUGUUAUAUAGGCCGCGAAGCUUGAGCGCGAGCACAAGUGGAGCCUACAUAAGCAAGAAUGCCGGCGUGAGUAACGUAUGAAAGUGAAAAUCUUUCUAGCCGAUUGACUAAGGUUUCCAGGGCAAGGGUCGUCCUCCCUGGGUUAGCCGGUCCUAAGACCAGGCCGAAAGGCGUAAUUGAUGGAAAGCAGGUUAAUAUUCCUGCGCUCAUUUGGUCGGCGAUGGGGUGACGAAAGAGGUUAUUGCGGGCGGGUUAUUGGAUUCCCGUUCAAGUUUUCGAGUGGGGGGCACAGGCAAAUCCGUUCCCCGUAAAACCAUGAGAUUCGAGUACGAGCGAAAGGAGAAAUCCCACUAGCGAAGCCGCAUACAUCAUAUUUCCAAGAAAAGCCUCUAGCUUAACGACCAAGUAACCGUACCGAGAACGAACACACGUGGUCAAGGAGAAAAUCCUAAGGCUAUCGAGAUAACUACAGUUAAGGAACUCUGCAAAUUGGCCCCGUAACUUCGGGAGAAGGGGUGCCUAUCUUCGGGUAGGCCACAGUAAAGAAUGAGGGGGGACUGUUUAACAAAAACACAGCUAUAUGCAAAAGC
RNAcentral lists this ribosomal RNA (651 nucleotides) under uncultured Mycoplasma sp. RNAcentral describes it as "partial 23S ribosomal RNA". It matches the Rfam family "Bacterial large subunit ribosomal RNA", at positions 1174 to 1832 of the family's 2925-position model. Lineage: Bacteria; Bacillati; Mycoplasmatota; Mollicutes; Mycoplasmatales; Mycoplasmataceae. The record is from RNAcentral.